RNAcentral lists this ribosomal RNA (253 nucleotides) under uncultured bacterium. RNAcentral describes it as "partial 16S ribosomal RNA". It matches the Rfam family "Bacterial small subunit ribosomal RNA", at positions 524 to 776 of the family's 1533-position model. The record is from RNAcentral.
AACGUAGGAGACAAACGUUAUCCGGAGUUACUGGGCGUAAAGGGCGUGUAGGUGGUUGCGUAAGUCUGGCGUGAAAUUUUUCGGCUUAACCGGGAAAGGUCGUCGGAUACUGCGUAACUAGAGGACGGUAGAGGCGUGUGGAAUUCCGGGUGUAGUGGUGAAAUGCGUAGAGAUCCGGAGGAACACCAGUGGCGAAGGCGACACGCUGGGCCGUACCUGACACUGAAACGCGACAGCAUGGGGAGCAAACAGG